UCACUAGACCGAGCAGGGGUUCA
RNAcentral lists this microRNA (23 nucleotides) under Pristionchus pacificus. RNAcentral describes it as "ppc-miR-8320-3p". The record is from miRBase by way of RNAcentral. Lineage: Eukaryota; Metazoa; Nematoda; Chromadorea; Rhabditida; Neodiplogasteridae.